Brassica napus (rape) is the source of this 4180-nucleotide RNA transcript. It is a transcript of the gene named photosystem I assembly protein Ycf3-like, with no coding region annotated. The transcript is spliced from 3 exons. Lineage: Eukaryota; Viridiplantae; Streptophyta; Magnoliopsida; Brassicales; Brassicaceae. The record is from RefSeq and is a predicted model, not a curated record.
AAAGAAACGCAAAAGUAGUAAAUGAAAAAAGUUUUGGACCGGGAAUUUAUUGGAUCUUCGAAAAGAAGACUUUCUAAGUUUUAGAAUGAAAAAUUAUUUAGAUUCGAAAUAAUUCAAAUCGAUAGUUCUUUCUCAUUUGUAUAUGUAUGAUAUAUCCCACAAGACUUGUAUAUAAUAAGAAAAGAAAUUCGAGUUUGUAAAAGUGUCGGAUGAAUGAAAAAGAUCAAUGAAUUCUUGAAUAACUAAAAAAAGGGUAAGGUGUCAAACAGACUUUUUUAGGGAGUAGGGUUGGGGAUAGAGGGACUUGAACCCUCACGAUUUUAAAAGUCAACGGAUUUUCAUCUUACUAUAAAUUUCAUUGUUGUCAGUAUUGACAUGUAGAAUGGGACUCUAUCUUUAUUCUCGUCCGAUUAAUAAGUUCCACCAAGGAUCUAUCAGACUAUGAAGUGAAUCGUUUGAUUCAACACAAGGGAUUGAACUCCAUUUGUUAGAACAGCUUCCAUUGAGUCUCUGCACCUAUCCCGCUUUCUAAACUCUGGUUUGUUCGCGUAACCCAGGAUUUGGCUCAGGAUUGCCCAUUGUUAAUUCCAGGGUUUCUCUGAAUUUGAAAGUUAUCACUUAGUAGGUUUCCAUACCAAGGCUCAAUCCAAUUAAGUCCGUAGCGUCUACCAAUUCCGCCAUAUCCCCUUUUUGCUUUGAGAUUAGGAUCUCAUUAUGAUGUCUUUCCACUUUUUCUUAUGACGAAACCUUGGAAUUCAUUACAUACAGAUACUUAUUUUAUUUCUUUGGUAUCUUCUUGCAUUUUUUUUAGCCCCAUCCAUAUUGAUUUAGUUUAAUCAACAAAGAUUCUAUCAUUUUUGUAUUUGCAAUUCAAUAUGGUUAUAUAUUAGAGAACAUAUAUAUGUUCUUCCUUUUCUCAUCGUUGUCUUCAAUUUUAAGAAAUAGUCGAACGGUCGAUUCGUUUUUUUUACUUCCAUGAAAAGAAAUUUAUGAUCAUUAUUGAAACUUAGAAUUCUACAAUGUGCAAUGUAAAAGAUUAUAAGUCUACUUCGUAGAUUUGAAAUUCGAAUAAUUCUAAAAAAGUAUAUUCGAAAUGAAUAUUCGAAUAUUCAUUCUAAUAAUUUAAUUCUAUAAAAUAAUAAAGAAUAUAAAAAGAGAAAAAGUAUCAAAUAAUAAUAAUUGCAUGAGGUUAGAACAAAAAAACCAAGAAUUUCAAAUCAGAUAUCAUUUAACUUUAAAAAAAAAGCUUUCCGGUCUAAUUAAAAUUUUCUUAUUUAGAAACUCAUGAAAUCAAAAUUAGAAAGUCGAUAUAUUGCUAUAUUAUAUUAAUUCAUUAAGGUUUUGUUUUAUUUAUUUAAUGAUAGUCACUAUUUAUUUGAGCUAUAUUCUGUUCUAGAAUAUCGAAAAUAUGAUGAAUUCUAAAUAGAUAAGGAAAAAUAUGAAUAGAAUAGUUAAUUAAUACGAUCUAGUAGUUUAGUGAAUUUGUAUACACUAUUUUAGUUGAGCCCGCUUAGCUCAGAGGUUAGAGCAUCGCAUUUGUAAUGCGAUGGUCAUCGGUUCGAUUCCGAUAGCCGGCUUUUACAUAGUUUUUCAUUUUUUUUACAUGAUUUUUAAUGUACUUUCAAAAAAAAAUAAGAUUGAAAAGACUUCUUUCACCUUUUUCCAAGAGUUACCACGCCAUUUAUAUUAUGUCAUAUAAACUUCCAUAUAGGAAUAUAUAUUGGGGUAAAAGGGUUAGAUCUUGGCAAAAUAAAUGAAGAAAAUAAAGGAAAAUUUUUGUGAUUUAUUGAUUUAUAUAUAUUGUAUAUACAAUAAAAAAAAUCUGUAUAUUGAGAGAAUAUAUCUUCUGACUCUUUGUAUUCCAAUAGUUUAUUGGAGUGGAUUUUACGUUAUUUAUCAUUAUCAUUUAGUUCAGUUUUAAUUUUGUUUAGUUUUGUACAAUUUCAAUAAAAAAAGGAGUCUUUAUGUCACGUUACCGAGGGCCUCGUUUUAAAAAAAUACGCCGUCUGGGGGCUUUACCGGGACUAACUAGUAAAAGGCCUAGGGCAGGAAGCGAUCUUAGAAACCAAUCACGCUCCGGAAAAAAAUCUCAAUAUCGUAUUCGUUUAGAAGAAAAACAAAAAUUGCGUUUUCAUUAUGGUCUUACAGAACGCCAAUUACUUAAAUAUGUUCGUAUCGCCGGAAAAGCUAAGGGGUCAACGGGUCAAGUUUUAUUACAAUUACUUGAAAUGCGUUUGGAUAACAUCCUUUUUCGGUUGGGUAUGGCUUUGACUAUUCCUCAAGCGCGCCAAUUAGUUAACCAUGGGCAUAUUUUAGUUAAUGGUCGUAUAGUUGAUAUACCAAGUUAUCGAUGCAAACCCCGAGAUAUUAUUACAGUGAAGGAUGAACAAAACUCUAGAACUUUGGUUCAAAAUCUUCUUGAGUCAUCUGCCCCCCGAGGAAUUGCCAAACCAUCUGACUCUUCACACAUUCCAAUAUGAAGGGUUAGUCAAUCAAAUAAUAGAUAGGAAAUGCGUCGGUUUGAAAAUAAAUGAAUUGCUUGUCGUAGAAUAUUACUCUCGCCAGACUUAAAAAACCUAAGUGAAGUAAAAAAAAUCACUAAAAACAAGAGUUCGGACAACUCCCCUUUGCCCGCUUUUUUGAUUAAAACUAAAAAGGGACAAGGUAAGGGAUUUUGUCGGGGAAUCUUUUUCCUAUUCAUGUAUCAUAGAUUGGUAGGGAGGUUUGGAUCCCUUGUUUGCUCUUCCCAGCAUUUUCCAUAGCAAAGAAAUGUAGAUUUUAUAUCUAUUUUUUUUAUUUGAUUUGAUACGUUGUGGUCAAUCACGUAAGAUUGGUUAUUUAGUUGAAAGUACGGAAAGAGAGGGAUUCGAACCCUCGGUAAACAAAAGUCUACAUAACAGUUCCAAUGUUACGCCUUCAACCACUCGGCCAUCUCUCCGACAUCAGGAUUAUGACUGAGUACCUGGGUGAAUAGCGAGUUAUUCAUCGUUUUUUUAGAUUAUGGUUAAUAGAUACCUUUUUUUGAUCAGAAAAAUUGGAAGUAGAUAGAAUAUUUUUUUAUAAAAAACGAGUCCGCUUUUAUGUUAGUUCGUACUAUAAAAUUCCUUUGUUUGUGAGAAAAUUUUCUCACAAAGAAAGUUAAAGGAAAUAAAAGAGUUAUAGAAUGGAUUACUACCUAUGCCAAGAUCGCGUAUAAAUGGAAAUUUUAUUGAUAAAACCUUUACAAUUGUAGCCGAUAUCUUAUUACGAGUCAUUCCGACAACUUCCGGAGAAAAAGAGGCAUUUACUUAUUACAGAGAUGGGAUGUCGGCUCAAUCUGAAGGAAAUUAUGCGGAAGCAUUACAGAAUUAUUAUGAAGCUAUGCGACUAGAAAUUGACCCCUAUGAUCGAAGUUAUAUACUCUAUAAUAUAGGCCUUAUCCACACAAGUAAUGGGGAACAUACCAAAGCUUUAGAAUAUUAUUUUCGGGCAUUAGAACGAACCCCUUUUUACCACAAGCUUUUAAUAAUAUGGCUGUGAUCUGUCAUUACCGUGGAGAACAGGCCAUUCAACAAGGAGAUUCUGAAAUGGCGGAGGCUUGGUUUGCUCAAGCCGCCGAGUAUUGGAAACAGGCUAUAACGCUUACUCCUGGUAAUUAUAUUGAAGCACAGAAUUGGUUGACGAUCACGAGGCGCUUCGAAUAAGAACUUUUUCUUUGUUUCUUUUUUUUUUAUUCUAUAAUAUAUCUUUAUUUGUUUUUACAAUUAAUUGUUUUUUAGUUUCUUGGCCCUCUCGGUCAAAUAAACCAGAUUCUUUUUCUAUCAGAAGAACCAAUCCCAGAAAAAAAUUUCAUUAUAUCCUUUUCUCAAAUCGUUCUAUUUAAUCUGGUAUUCUCUAGGGAUAAGUAGUACAUGAAUAUGAGAAUAUCUAUAAUAUCUAUAUCUAGUUUUUUCUAUUUUUUUCUUUUCGACUAUUAAAACGAAUAAAAGGGAUUUGAAAAUGACUAAAUAUCAAUACUAGAAUGUUUCUUAGUAAUGACUAAUAAGCGGUUAUUGAAAUAGGAUAAUAUCCUCUAUUUAAAACAUAAAAAAUAGGCUAUAUUUCGGAACUUAUAAUUGAAAUAUGAAUACACUAGAUUAGGUUAUAAAAAAAAAUUAUUUGUGUACCAAUACUAAUGUAAAGGUGCGAAAACGCUUUUUAA